RNAcentral lists this long non-coding RNA (1363 nucleotides) under Vitis vinifera (wine grape). Its description in RNAcentral is "long non-coding RNA (VVIN_LNC000095)". Lineage: Eukaryota; Viridiplantae; Streptophyta; Magnoliopsida; Vitales; Vitaceae. The record is from RNAcentral.
UGGUUUGCUCAUGGUAUUGACAUGCAAAUUUCUUGCAUAUAUAUGUUCUGGCUUGGUGAACUGAGUGAUUCAAUGGUAGAAAGCUACACCUUAAUUUAUUUAUUUAUUUAUUUUUUGUUUAGAGCAUCAUUUUAGUGGGAAAAAAGAGAGAAUCGUUUUAGUAGUCUACAGUUGCUUAGGGUCUGUUCAGUGUGAGUUUUAGUAUUCAAUUUAAUCUUGCAAGCCACUGGUAACAGGCUAUAGGCUACUGGAGUCACUGAAAUACACAAUUUUCUCAGUGUUUUCCUUUUUGGGUCUGUUUUAAUAUUAUUGGUUUUUGUUAUGGUUCCUUUUCUGUGGGCAAGCAAGGACCAUAAUUGUUACUAAGUGCUUGUGGUACUACAUGUCAAUUAUUUCAUCCUUGUUCAUAUGAUAAUUUGUGGUCAAAUCCUUUAUGGAUCCAUUGGCAGGAAAUACUAUAUAUUUAAGGUAAAUCCUUAGUGAGUGAUGUUUAGGUGUUUGAUUUUGGAUAUUUUAAUUUUAUGAAUUUAUGAGGGAAAAGUAUAUAAAUUAAGGUAACUUCUCUGUGAGUGAUAUCUAGGUGUUUGAUUUUGCAUAUAUUCUCCUCCAAGUUACAAAUGGCUCCUAUAUAUCUAGGAUUAAUGUAUCAACCCAUUAAGGAUAAUGCAUUCCAUUUUGGGGGUAAAAGUUAGGCAAGCUUCUAUACAAUUUUUAUUUGACCAAAUGGUUUGCUCAUGGUAUUGACAUGCAAAUUUCUUGCAUAUAUAUGUUCUGGCUUGGUGAACUGAGUGAUUCAAUGGUAGAAAGCUACACCUUAAUUUAUUUAUUUAUUUAUUUUUUGUUUAGAGAAUCAUUUUAGUGGGAAAAAAGAGAGAAUCGUUUUAGUAGUCUACAGUUGCUUAGGGUCUGUUCAGUGUGCAGUCUGUUUUCAAUAAGUGCCCUCAUAAUAUUUUGCUGCUUAAAUAUUAACCUAGAAAUGUGAUUGUUAUCCUAUCAUGUCUAAGAAUUGAAAACCUGGGUUCUUAUCCCAUCCUCCUGCUCUGUGAAUAGGCUGUACAACAUUUUUCUCUUCAUAGCCCACAUUAUUGUAGCCCUUGUCUAAUUGCUUUGAAAUGCUACAUUUAACUCAACACUUUACUAUUGUAAACUGUGUAUGAAUUAUUGUACAGUAAUUGGAAGUUUGUGGUUAAUUCACAUCAAAUGACUGCACCAUGAAUUAAUGUAAUCCUUAAUCAUCUUCGCUGACGACCUUCAAAGCAUCACCAUGUUUCCUUUGUAUUGUCCACUUCACUAAGCAGAUUUUCUGUCAAGAAGUCUGUUAAAAUUGACCACUUCAUCCCAGAAAUUAAAAAAAAAAAGGAAA